This is a long non-coding RNA of Rhea pennata, 275 nucleotides long. RefSeq lists it as uncharacterized. Lineage: Eukaryota; Metazoa; Chordata; Aves; Rheiformes; Rheidae. The record is from RefSeq and is a predicted model, not a curated record. The transcript is spliced from 3 exons.
GAGGCAUCACAUAACCUCCAGAGCAAUAAAGAAGUUAGCAUGAUGAUGUCUGAGAUCCUUAGAGAGCACAAACUGGCAGUGUAAUACAUAGAAGAGAAUUACUUUUGAAGCAAGGAAGAAGCUGCACCAGCCUGUGUUGAGCAAGUCUUUCUGAGGGCCGGAGAAGGAGUUGAACUGAGAAGUCAUUAUGCUCUCCACAAUACCCAGAGAUGAAUGGGGUAAGUGCAGCAGCAGCGCCCAGAGGUAGUUAGGUUUCUUCUGACUGGAGUAAGCAA